Molecule: small nuclear RNA, 90 nt
Filed under: Octodon degus (degu)
Lineage: Eukaryota; Metazoa; Chordata; Mammalia; Rodentia; Octodontidae
Source: RNAcentral
UUGCUUUCCCAGCACAUACAUUACAAUUGGAACAAUACAGAAAAGAUCAAUGGUCCUUCCUCAAGGAUGACAAUUUCUUUCUUUUUUUUU